Molecule: long non-coding RNA, 335 nt
Organism: Ooceraea biroi (clonal raider ant)
Lineage: Eukaryota; Metazoa; Arthropoda; Insecta; Hymenoptera; Formicidae
Source: RefSeq, a predicted model, not a curated record
UCGCGAGGAGGUGGGAUGGAGGCGCCGCAGCGCUCUGUCGUCUGCUAUUUUCGUCCAAUCGCAGGACCGUAUCAAGAUAAAAAAACCAAAAAUAAUGUGAAUCAUGAAUGAUAGUGAUGAAUUCAUUAGAAUCUCGUUGUCGCGGAGCCAGAAUCAACGUGCAUUGGCUCUUACAAGAACGAGCUGAAAGUUGUGCCAGAAAUAGCAGGCCCUGGCAGUGUCACAAGAGACCUUGUCCGAUAGGUGGCAUGAAUAUGAAAUGACAUUCCGCGAGCAACCUUUCUACCGCAUCCCUUUAUUUAAACAGUACAUCAUUAAUAAACGCAAAUGUUCAA